UGGAAUUAAUUAGAAGAGCUAUGUAGCGGUGUGGAGUGGGUAGUGAGGAAGAGUGAGGAGGCGGUGGGGGGUUUUAUACAGGGGAGGGAGAGAGAGAGAUCGGGUCAGGGUUAGCUUGUGUGAGGAGGAGAAAGAGCAGUAACAGCGGUGGUGGGGUUUAGUAGUUGAGGCGGCGUCGUGGGUCAACGUGGACGUGGGAUGGGAAAGGGGAGUGAAGUAGCGAGGAAGGGGGAGAGAGGUGUAGCAAGUUGGGGAACUGCAACGACUUCGUCUCUCUCUCUCUCUCUCUCUCUCUCUCUCCCCCUCGCUCUCUCGUCCGGGUCAAUCCAAUAGGAAAUGGAGAAAUUAUUCCCUGCUCCGGUGGACCUAGUGUUGAUCUUAAGUGCGAGGGAUAGGGAUGAGGACGUGGGAUGACGUAAGGGUGAUCGAAGAGCAUUCACAAAUCACAGGUGGCCAAAGAGCGAGUGGCAGGGCGGCGGCGUGCCAUAACUAAUUCGAGGGCAAUUUCGUAAAUUUUACCGCUCCUUUUAAUUUUGGGAUUUGUUCCGCGUGGUAGCGUGAGCCGCGCUCUUCGGUUGGUGGACUUUCCAGUUUCCACAGCGGCAGCCACAGCUACUUCUGAGGAAGCAUCCGAAAGGUGGGCACAGGCACAGCCUACUUGCAUUUGUAUUUUGUACCACGUGUUUCUUAUUUUGCUUAGUAGUCUUUCCAGUUUUCUAUUUUGUUUGGCUCAUAAUAGUUUGGCAGAUGGGCACUUGUUCGAGCAUCAUUUAAUUGGAUGAUAAGAUGAUUGAUUGGGUAAAAAUAAAAUACUUUUAAAAUUUA
This is a long non-coding RNA of Ananas comosus (pineapple), 825 nucleotides long. RefSeq lists it as uncharacterized. The transcript is spliced from 2 exons. NCBI's taxonomy places the organism in Eukaryota, Viridiplantae, Streptophyta, Magnoliopsida, Poales, Bromeliaceae. The record is from RefSeq and is a predicted model, not a curated record.